AUUGAACGCUGGCGGCAGGCCUAACACAUGCAAGUCGAGCGGAUGAAGGGAGCUUGCUCCUGGAUUCAGCGGCGGACGGGUGAGUAAUGCCUAGGAAUCUGCCUGGCAGUGGGGGAUAACGUCCGGAGACGGGCGCUAAUACCGCAUACGUCCUGAGGGAGCAAGUGGGGGAUCUUCGGACCUCACGCUAUCAGAUGAGCCUAGGUCGGAUUAGCUAGUUGGUGGGGUAAAGGCCUACCAAGGCGACGAUCCGUAACUGGUCUGAGAGGAUGAUCAGUCACACUGGAACUGAGACACGGUCCAGACUCCUACGGGAGGCAGCAGUGGGGAAUAUUGGACAAUGGUCGAAAGCCUGAUCCAGCCAUGCCGCGUGUGUGAAGAAGGUCUUCGGAUUGUAAAGCACUUUAAGUUGGGAGGAAGGGCAGUAAGUUAAUACCUUGCUGUUUUGACGUUACCAACAGAAUAAGCACCGGCUAACUUCGUG
Molecule: ribosomal RNA, 484 nt
Filed under: uncultured bacterium
Lineage: Bacteria
Description: partial 16S ribosomal RNA
Rfam family: Bacterial small subunit ribosomal RNA
Source: RNAcentral